This 851-nucleotide ribosomal RNA is filed under the name Schistocerca lineata (birdwing grasshopper). RNAcentral's name for it is "partial 16S ribosomal RNA". Lineage: Eukaryota; Metazoa; Arthropoda; Insecta; Orthoptera; Acrididae. The record is from RNAcentral.
UUAUUUAUUUUAUUAUAUUUAUUUUUUGUUUAUUUAAUUAUUUAAUAAAAAUAAUUUUAUUGAAUUUUGUCUUAGUAUAUUUUGUAGAAUUGAUUUUUUAAAUUAUAGUUUAUUGGUAAUGUAAUUGUUUUAUGAAAUAUUAUUUUAAAUUUUUAAAAGUAUAUUUUAUUUAUUGUACCUUUUGUAUCAGGGUUUAUCAAAAUUUUAGUAUUUAAUUUACUUGUCUCGAUUUGGGUUGAUUUAUAAAUAAUUUAUAGUUAAUGUAUCAUAAUUAUUAUUAAAUUAUUUAUGGAAAUGAAAUGUUAAUCGUUUCCCAAGAUAUCUAGUUUCUUAAGAAAAAUUUUAAUUUUUUAAAGUUAAUUGUUUUUAUUUAAUUUUUUAAUUAUAAAUAUUAACUUAUUUAUUCUUUAAGGGAUAAGCUUUGAAGUUAAUAACCUAUAAUUUGUUUUAUAAAAUAUAAUAGUAAGCUUUAAACCAGCUAUCUUUAUGAUUACGUUUUAGUUCAUUAUUUUCUAUUUUGAUUUUAUAAUUAUUUUAGGUUUUUUAUUAGGAUUAUUUAUUUAAUUUUAAAAUUUUUGUAAUAAUGAUAGAAUUAGUAUAUUUACUUGUAUAUAAUUUUUACCUUGUGAAUUUAUAAUAAGGAACUAGGCAAAAUUGAUUUCCGCCUGUUUAUCAAAAACAUGUCCUCUUGAAAAUACUUUGAGGUCUGGCCUGCUCACUGAGCGGAUUUUUAAAGAGCCGCGGUAUUUUGACCGUGCAAAGGUAGCAUAAUCAUUAGUCUCUUAAUUAGUGGCUGGAAUGAAUGGCUUGACGAGAAAUCAACUGUCUCUUAAUAAAUUUUUGAAUUUAAC